GUUGGUGAACCAGCGGAGGGAUCAUUACAGAGUUGCAAAACUCCCACCAUUGUGUACCUACCUCACUGUUGCUUCGGCGGGUAGCCUGUAUUCCAGGCUGCGUCAGUCUCCUCUCCAGGAGCCGGCAGCCCGUCAGAAGCCUGAAACUCUUUAUAUUAUAGGCCUCUCUGAGUAACUUAUACAAUAAGUUAAAACUUUCAACAACGGAUCUCUUGGUUCUG
RNAcentral lists this unclassified non-coding RNA (221 nucleotides) under rhizosphere metagenome. Its description in RNAcentral is "partial ribosomal RNA internal transcribed spacer region". The record is from RNAcentral.